GUUAGCCAAAACAAUAAAAUAUGUAAUUAGCCAUGGCCUCAUGUCCUAGGAAAUUUUUAAUAAAAGAACUUAUCAAUGUGCCUCCUCCGGUUAAUGUUUGGUUACAAGGCACAAUAGAGCAGACUGUAGGAACUAAUAUUUUAAUAAUAUCGGAUAAGACUGGACGCGCGAAAAUAACCAAAUGUGACACAGCUGACGGCGUUAUUGAUAAGAGUUCUUUACGAAUAGGAACAUAUUGCUGCAUAAUAGGUACUUCAAUAAGAACAAAAGGUCUCCCUGAAGUCCACGCUAGCAAAUUUAUUGAUCUCACCUCACAAUCAGAAAUGAAGAAUGCUUGGGAGUUAGAAGUUAAAGAGGCAAACUUGGUUCUAGGAGGAAAUUACAAGCCAAGUUUAUAAAAAAAUAUUUUCUGUCUUCAUAUUAUAUUAAAACUUCCAAUCAAUUUUUUCAUACAAAAUUUUUUCCUCAACCCUUCUUUUAAGAAGCAGUCUUCAUAGAAUGUAAAUAAAAGUUUUAAAUUGUU
This is a long non-coding RNA of Manduca sexta (tobacco hornworm), 523 nucleotides long. RefSeq lists it as uncharacterized. NCBI's taxonomy places the organism in Eukaryota, Metazoa, Arthropoda, Insecta, Lepidoptera, Sphingidae. The transcript is spliced from 2 exons. The record is from RefSeq and is a predicted model, not a curated record.